GACGAACGCUGGCGGCGUGCUUAACACAUGCAAGUCGAACGGAAAGGCCAUGCUUUUGUGGGGUGCUCGAGUGGCGAACGGGUGAGUAACACGUGAGUAAAAUGCCCUUGACUUUGGGAUAACUUCAGGAAACUGGGGCUAAUACCGGAUAGGAGCUCCUGCUGCGUGGUGGGGGUUGGAAAGUUUCGGCGGUUGGGGCUGGACUCGCGGCUUAUCAGCUGGUUGGUGGGGUUGUGGAUUACCAAGGCUUUGACGGGUAGCCGGCCUGGGAGCGUGACCGGCCACCUUGGUCCUGAGAUACGCCCCAGACUCCUACGGUAGGCAGCAGUGGGGAAUAUUCCACAAUGGGCGGAAGCCUGAUGCAGCAACGCCGCGUGCGGGAUGACGGCCUUCGGGUUGUAAACCGCUUUCGCCUGAGACGAAGCGUGAGUGACGGUAAUGGGUAAAGAAGCACCGGCUAACUACGUG
This 468-nucleotide ribosomal RNA is filed under the name uncultured bacterium. Its description in RNAcentral is "partial 16S ribosomal RNA". It matches the Rfam family "Bacterial small subunit ribosomal RNA", at positions 28 to 507 of the family's 1533-position model. The record is from RNAcentral.